AGCGAACGCUGGCGGCAGGCUUAACACAUGCAAGUCGAGCGCCCUGUAGCAAUACAGGAGCGGCAGACGGGAGAGUAACACGUGGGAACGUACCCUUUGGUCGGAACAACCCAGGGAACUUGGACUAAUACCGGNUAAGCCCUAACGGGGAAAGAUUUAUCGCCAAAGGAUCGGCCCGCGUCUGAUUAGCUAGUUGGUGAGGUAACGGCUCACCAAGGCGACGAUCAGUAGCUGGUCUGAGAGGAUGAUCAGCCUCACUGGGACUGAGACACGGCCCAGACUCCUACGGGAGGCAGCAGUGGGAAUAUUGGACAAUGGGCGCAAGCCUGAUCCAGCCAUGCCGCGUGGUGAUGAAGG
RNAcentral lists this ribosomal RNA (357 nucleotides) under uncultured bacterium. RNAcentral describes it as "bacterial SSU rRNA". It matches the Rfam family "Bacterial small subunit ribosomal RNA", at positions 29 to 414 of the family's 1533-position model. The record is from RNAcentral.